GCGGCCUUAGCGUAGUGGUAGCGCGACAGACUUCGAUGUUUGUCGUCAGAGUAAUCUGUAGGUCGGGGGUUCGAUCCCCUCAGGCCGUU
This is a transfer RNA of Naematelia encephala, 89 nucleotides long. It matches the Rfam family "tRNA". Rfam says of the family: Transfer RNA (tRNA) molecules are approximately 80 nucleotides in length. Their secondary structure includes four short double-helical elements and three loops (D, anti-codon, and T loops). The record is from Rfam. Lineage: Eukaryota; Fungi; Basidiomycota; Tremellomycetes; Tremellales; Naemateliaceae.